Molecule: ribosomal RNA, 1372 nt
Filed under: uncultured bacterium
Lineage: Bacteria
Description: bacterial SSU rRNA
Rfam family: Bacterial small subunit ribosomal RNA
Source: RNAcentral
GAUGAACGCUGGCGGCGUGCCUAAUACAUGCAAGUCGAGCGAACGGACGAGAAGCUUGCUUCUCUGAUGUUAGCGGCGGACGGGUGAGUAACACGUGGAUAACCUACCUAUAAGACUGGGAUAACUUCGGGAAACCGGAGCUAAUACCGGAUAAUAUUUUGAACCGCAUGGUUCAAAAGUGAAAGACGGUCUUGCUGUCACUUAUAGAUGGAUCCGCGCUGCAUUAGCUAGUUGGUAAGGUAACGGCUUACCAAGGCAACGAUGCAUAGCCGACCUGAGAGGGUGAUCGGCCACACUGGAACUGAGACACGGUCCAGACUCCUACGGGAGGCAGCAGUAGGGAAUCUUCCGCAAUGGGCGAAAGCCUGACGGAGCAACGCCGCGUGAGUGAUGAAGGUCUUCGGAUCGUAAAACUCUGUUAUUAGGGAAGAACAUAUGUGUAAGUAACUGUGCACAUCUUGACGGUACCUAAUCAGAAAGCCACGGCUAACUACGUGCCAGCAGCCGCGGUAAUACGUAGGUGGCAAGCGUUAUCCGGAAUUAUUGGGCGUAAAGCGCGCGUAGGCGGUUUUUUAAGUCUGAUGUGAAAGCCCACGGCUCUACCGUGGAGGGUCAUUGGAAACUGGAAAACUUGAGUGCAGAAGAGGAAAGUGGAAUUCCAUGUGUAGCGGUGAAAUGCGCAGAGAUAUGGAGGAACACCAGUGGCGAAGGCGACUUUCUGGUCUGUAACUGACGCUGAUGUGCGAAAGCGUGGGGAUCAAACAGGAUUAGAUACCCUGGUAGUCCACGCCGUAAACGAUGAGUGCUAAGUGUUAGGGGGUUUCCGCCCCUUAGUGCUGCAGCUAACGCAUUAAGCACUCCGCCUGGGGAGUACGACCGCAAGGUUGAAACUCAAAGGAAUUGACGGGGACCCGCACAAGCGGUGGAGCAUGUGGUUUAAUUCGAAGCAACGCGAAGAACCUUACCAAAUCUUGACAUCCUUUGACAACUCUAGAGAUAGAGCCUUCCCCUUCGGGGGACAAAGUGACAGGUGGUGCAUGGUUGUCGUCAGCUCGUGUCGUGAGAUGUUGGGUUAAGUCCCGCAACGAGCGCAACCCUUAAGCUUAGUUGCCAUCAUUAAGUUGGGCACUCUAAGUUGACUGCCGGUGACAAACCGGAGGAAGGUGGGGAUGACGUCAAAUCAUCAUGCCCCUUAUGAUUUGGGCUACACACGUGCUACAAUGGACAAUACAAAGGGCAGCGAAACCGCGAGGUCAAGCAAAUCCCAUAAAGUUGUUCUCAGUUCGGAUUGUGGUCUGCAACUCGACUACAUGAAGCUGGAAUCGCUAGUAAUCGUAGAUCAGCAUGCUACGGUGAAUACGUUCCCGGGUCU